This is a non-coding RNA of Dermacentor albipictus, 1600 nucleotides long. NCBI's taxonomy places the organism in Eukaryota, Metazoa, Arthropoda, Arachnida, Ixodida, Ixodidae. The record is from RefSeq and is a predicted model, not a curated record.
UACUAUCGGAUGAGUCCGAAGCAAUUUGACGAACUGCACAGCAUUGUCCGCAGGGACUUGAGGAGGAAUUUUGUUAGCCGGGAGCCUCUUUGCUCUGAAGAGAGACUUGCUAUAACCAUCAGGUACCUAUCCUCGGGAAUGGCAAUCAAGCUGAUAGCACUCACAUUUCGAGUUGCGCCAGCAACAUGUCGGCUUGUGAUUCACAAUGCCUGCAGAGUGAUCUGGAAGCACUUGGAGCCGCUCUACCUGCCUGAGCCACGGCCUGUGCAAUGGGAGGAAUCUGCACAAGAAUUCAGCAGGCGUUGGAACUUCUCCUCAUUGUGUAGGAGCAGUAGACGGAAAGCACGUCCAGAUUAUUGCACCACCAAAUUCUGGAAGCAGCUAUUUCAACUAUAAGGGGACGUUCUCCAUUGUUUUGAUGGCCAUCGUGGAUGCAAAGUACAAGUUCAUGAUGGUAGAUGUCGGUGCACCAGGCCGACACAGUGACGGCGGAGUCUUCAAAUCGUGCACAUUUGGAAAAAAGCUAAACGAUGGCGUCGUGGCCCUACCAGCAGCAGCACGCCUUCCAAAAAGCCAGAAGGUUGUGCCACAUGUUUUCGUCGGGGACGAAGCAUUCCAAUUGAGGACAGAUUUUUUGCGUCCAUUCCCGGGCAAAGGCAUGCUGCCAAUCCAGAGGGUAUUCAACUACCGGCUGAGCAGAGCAAGGCGCAUCGUGGAAAAUGCCUUUGGCAUUUUGAGAGCUCGUUGGAGAAUCUUGCUUGGGCCCAUUAACCUUCUACCUAAAAAUGCAACCUUUGCUGUCCUGGCUUGCUGCGCUCUCCAUAACUUCAUCUCUUCUGCCCGGGAAACAACCUACUGUCCACCAGGCUAUGUGGAUUCCGAGGAUGAUUAUGGGAAUAUCGUCCCAGGCCAGUGGAGAAGUGAUGCUGUGUCAAGUAGCCUGCUUGACCUUGAAACAACGCACUCUAGAAACUACAGAGCAAGUGCUGCUGACACAAGGAAUCUUUUCGCCCAGUACUUUUUUAAUGAAGGUGCCACUGCGUGGCAGUGGGCUCACACUGGACUUGCAGUGCCACAGAAUCCAUAGUGGAUUUAAAGCACCCAUUGUCACUAUACGAAGUCUGUGCAUUUAUUCAGGGUUGUCAGGAAAUGUAUACUUCGCGAUGAAUUGCAGCAAAUCCAUUUCCAUGUCCCGUUUCGCAUGCUUCGGGCAUGCCCGCAGCUUGUGGGCAACUAGCUGCCCAUAGACUGACGCUUGGUCCUUGUCCUCAGUUAUCAGGGCGUCAACUUUAUCACUGUCGUCCUGCCACCGAGACCUCUCUUUCCUUUUCUUUCCUGCGCCAGACCGAGGGGCUACCAGGGUUCUUGCAGCGGUGCUGGCUUGUGAGCUGCCGCGUGGUGUGUGUGGCUCUGGGCUGGUACUUCUUGAGGGCACAGGUGGAGAGAAAGCAUCAUCUUCAGAAGGUUCCGCUCCGUCUUGAAUAAAGAAAAGAAUUGCAAACCUUAAGCACUCAAAAAGGUUUUUGGAUCGUUUUCAAGAGUGGAAAAGUAAAAAAAUGAUUUGUAAACUUCCCAUGCUGCUUCUUCGUAAAUGAAAGUA